RNAcentral lists this ribosomal RNA (885 nucleotides) under Triticum aestivum (bread wheat). RNAcentral describes it as "partial small subunit ribosomal RNA". The record is from RNAcentral. Lineage: Eukaryota; Viridiplantae; Streptophyta; Magnoliopsida; Poales; Poaceae.
AUGCAUCCUCCGCCCGCCGCCGCCGCCGCCUCCGCAGCGGACUACGUCCCGGCGCCCGCUCCCUCGGAGCACGCGGCGUACCCGAGGCUCUCGCCGGAGGACCUGGCCCCGCCGCCCCCUCCCCCGUACCACGCCGCCGCGUCCUACUCCCCGCCGCCCGUCUCCGGCAACCCCUACGUCUCCGGCCCCGCCGCCGGCUCCGUGCCGCCCCCCAAGAGUGAGUCCCAAAUCUGUCCCAUCUUGCUUCCGAUUGCGGAAGGGUUCGCAUUGCCCCCCCCUUUUUUUAACCUGACGAUUUCGUGGCGCUGCCGUGUCUCUGCAGACACCAUGGACUCGGUGAAGGACGUGCUGGGGAAGAUGGGCAAGAGAUUCGGCGAGGCCGCCCGCAAGACGGAGAACACCGCCGGCAACUUCUGGCAGCACCUGAAAACUGGACCAAGUAUUGCUGAUGCAGCAAUGGGCAGGGUCUCCCAGAUCACCAAAGUCAUAGCAGAAGGUGGAUAUGAGAAAAUCUUCCAUCAAACGUUUGAUGUCCUCCCUGAAGAAAAACUCAAGAAGCCAUUCGCAUGUUAUCUGUCAACCUCUGCUGGUCCUGUUAUGGGUGUGCUCUACCUGUCCAAUGUAAAGUUGGCCUUCUGUAGUGAUAACCCACUUGCAUACAAGGUUGGGGACAAAAAUGAGUGGAGCUAUUACAAGGUUGCCAUCCCGCUAGCCCAGCUGAGGUCCGUUAAUCCUUCGACGAGCAGAACAAACGCAGCUGAGAAAUACAUCCAGGUGGUCUCGGUCGAUAAUCACGAGUUUUGGUUCAUGGGCUUUGUGUACUAUGACAGUGCUGUAAAGCACCUGCAGGAAGCACUCCAGGAGGCCCGUAUUUUGCAAGCUUAG